GGUUAAGCGACUAAGCGUACACGGUGGAUGCCCUGGCAGUCAGAGGCGAUGAAGGGCGUGCUAAUCUGCGAUAAGCGCCGGUAAGGUGAUAUGAACCGUUAUAACCGGCGAUACCCGAAUGGGGAAACCCAGUGUGACUCGUCACACUAUCAUUAACUGAAUCCAUAGGUUAAUGAGGCGAACCGGGGGAACUGAAACAUCUAAGUACCCCGAGGAAAAGAAAUCAACCGAGAUUCCCCCAGUAGCGGCGAGCGAACGGGGAGGAGCCCAGAGCCUGAAUCAGCAUGUGUGUUAGUGGAAGCGUCUGGAAAGGCGCGCGAUACAGGGUGACAGCCCCGUACACAAAAGCGCAUGUGCUGUGAGCUCGAUGAGUAGGGCGGGACACGUGGUAUCCUGUCUGAAUAUGGGGGGACCAUCCUCCAAGGCUAAAUACUCCUGACUGACCGAUAGUGAACCAGUACCGUGAGGGAAAGGCGAAAAGAACCCCGGCGAGGGGAGUGAAAAAGAACCUGAAACCGUGUACGUACAAGCAGUGGGAGCACAGGUUUACCUGUGUGACUGCGUACCUUUUGUAUAAUGGGUCAGCGACUUAUAUUCUGUAGCAAGGUUAACCGUAUAGGGGAGCCGGAGGGAAACCGAGUCUUAA
RNAcentral lists this ribosomal RNA (646 nucleotides) under Salmonella enterica subsp. enterica serovar Infantis. Its description in RNAcentral is "partial 23S ribosomal RNA". It matches the Rfam family "Bacterial large subunit ribosomal RNA", at positions 1 to 687 of the family's 2925-position model. Lineage: Bacteria; Pseudomonadati; Pseudomonadota; Gammaproteobacteria; Enterobacterales; Enterobacteriaceae. RNAcentral also lists the same sequence under 3 other names. The record is from RNAcentral.